Molecule: long non-coding RNA, 233 nt
Organism: Cololabis saira (Pacific saury)
Lineage: Eukaryota; Metazoa; Chordata; Actinopteri; Beloniformes; Belonidae
Exons: 3
Source: RefSeq, a predicted model, not a curated record
UGGACCUGGUCCCAGCUUUGUGUCCUUGAAGAGUGAUGCAUCAAAGGAGUUUUUCAUCGGUUUUAAAGAUGAUCCUGGUUUUCCUUCAGAGAGAGUGGACCAGCAGAUCUCAGAGUCCCCCAGCGGUCCGUCUGUCCAGCAGCAUCAGACCCAGCUGGACUCCGUCUUUCAGCUGCUGGAGGACGACAUCGUCAUGUUUGUGAAGGACGAGCUGAAGAAAAUCCUGAAGGUUC